Molecule: ribosomal RNA, 77 nt
Filed under: Myotis lucifugus (little brown bat)
Lineage: Eukaryota; Metazoa; Chordata; Mammalia; Chiroptera; Vespertilionidae
Source: RNAcentral
GUCUACAGCCAUACCACCAGGAAAGCACCAGAUCUCAGAAGAUAAGCAGGGUUGGGCUUAGUUAGAGCAGCUGGAUG